UCUUUUAAUAUUGGUUAUUGCACCUUACUGAAGUGACGACUUUAAAUGGUCUAUUUCGGAGUACUUCCGCAACAUAAAUUUCAAUUCGCAUUUUACAUUCAGAGGAUUGUCUUAAUGUCUCCAAUUUGUCUUUGCAAAAGUUGGACGAAGUUCAUGUAAUGAGAUUUUUCCCCAUUUCCCCAUUCUUUUAAAUAAACGAUUAAUAAAAAUUGCAAAAUUUAACCUGUGUUGAACCUAUUUCCCUGAGCGGAGUCUAUAGCAACAUGCACUAUUCUUUUUUUCAGAAGCAAUCAUCAACCUCUUUUUCCAAAUUCAAUCAUAAUUGUUGUUAAUUAUCAUGAACCUUUAAUUGAAACUUUAGAACAUGUAACGUCGGAAAUAGCGUCUUUUGGAUUUUAGACGUUUUCAGACGUUUAGACAAAUUGGCUACCGUUUUGUAAUGUGUGGAAUCAUUUUUAUUCCUUUAAGACCCAAGUAUGUAGUUGAUAAGAAAAGAAUCUUGGCAUUUUUUAAUCUUCGUUUAUCUAACUUUUGUUUUGAUCAAAAAAUUUUAAAAAAUACGCGAAAAAUGAGGCAAAUAUUUGUACUUUUGUUAGAUAUUAUUAUUGUUUACUCUUUUUAUUCAUUUACUGCUAUAUCUACUUAUAAAAUUCACUUUCAGUCGUUGAACUAACGAAAUACGUCGUUGGACAUUUUUCUUAUUCCAGUUUAAUAUACAGCCACCGAGUCAAAUGAAAUUUGGCAAAAAAAACGGCUUUAACGCCACAAAGAACCGACACAUGUCGCUGUUCCGGCCAAGAAUCAAAAAGAUCAGAGAAUAAGAAAUAGGAUCACUCUACAUAAGAGUUAAAACAGUUUUUCAUAAAUGUAACGUUGGACAUCCGUUUUUUUUUCACAUAGCUUUGUUAUUUUAAUCCUCAAAUAACAUAGGUAUUACUUACUAUAUGAUCAAGAGCUGUAAAAACAUAAUUUAAAACGUAUAUUGAUUUUGUUAUAUUAUUUGUUUGUGUUUUCUAACAUUUUUAUUUUGUUUUGCGGAUGAAAUUUCGAAGAUUCUGUUUUAAAUCCUAGGGGUUGUAGAAACAUCGUGCACACCGUUUAAAAGUAGACAUAGAGCAAUCAGUACUUCAGUUCACCCUUAUUAUACAAAACGCCAUGUAGUUUGCGCUAAUUCAUAUGGAGGUGGAAAGCUUGGUUUGCUUUGGUAGGACUGAAUGUCAAUCAUCAUAUAGUUCCAUAUGAUAACAUGUUCAGAAAUUAAUAAAACUAGGAUCAAAAUGAUUAAUUAAAUUUCUAGUAUUGUCCCCAGUUUUAAUUCAAUGAGUGAAGAAAACAAAUUUGAAUUUAUAUUUUCCUGUGAAGAAUGUGAUAUUUUACUUAUUAUUGUUAACUAGAAUGAAAUUCAAAACAGGGUGGCUGUGGCCAUUGAUUGACACAUUAAAUUCAUCCAUUGACUGGGACAAUUUAGGUGAACGUUUGUAUGUAACGACCACUGCUCACUGUGUACUUUUUAAAGACACUUAAACUAUGGGGUCACCAAAGGUUCUCA
This 1549-nucleotide long non-coding RNA is filed under the name Mytilus galloprovincialis (Mediterranean mussel). Lineage: Eukaryota; Metazoa; Mollusca; Bivalvia; Mytilida; Mytilidae. The record is from RNAcentral.